ACAUGCAAGUCGAACGGUGAAGCCCCGCUUGCGGGGUGGAUCAGUGGCGAACGGGUGAGUAACACGUGAGCAACCUGCCCUGGACUCUGGGAUAAGCGCUGGAAACGGCGUCUAAUACUGGAUAUGAACUCUCAUCGCAUGGUGGGGGUUGGAAAGAUUUUUUGGUCUGGGAUGGGCUCGCGGCCUAUCAGCUUGUUGGUGAGGUAAUGGCUCACCAAGGCGUCGACGGGUAGCCGGCCUGAGAGGGUGACCGGC
Molecule: ribosomal RNA, 255 nt
Filed under: Microbacterium ureisolvens
Lineage: Bacteria; Bacillati; Actinomycetota; Actinomycetes; Micrococcales; Microbacteriaceae
Description: partial 16S ribosomal RNA
Rfam family: Bacterial small subunit ribosomal RNA
Source: RNAcentral